ACACAAUUGAUGGAGGAAUGAGACACCAUGGAAAAACAAAUGAAAAUCUGUUCAAUAUUAAGAAAAUGUCAAGUGUGAAAAAGAAGUAAUGUUGGGGGGAAAGCAAUGAUGAGGUCAUCAGAUCUGUCAGCACUGUCACUUCAUGAAUUACAAAAACUUAACAGGACUCUAUGUAAAUAUCCAGUGAAUGUUAAUUGUUGUGCUAUUUUAACUUCAAAGGAAUGGAAGAAGCAGAGAGGCCACGAAUGGGAGUAAAGUCUAAUCAUGAUUUAAAGGG
RNAcentral lists this long non-coding RNA (277 nucleotides) under Mus pahari (shrew mouse). Its description in RNAcentral is "lncRNA (MGP_PahariEiJ_G0005083.1)". The record is from RNAcentral. Lineage: Eukaryota; Metazoa; Chordata; Mammalia; Rodentia; Muridae.